This 253-nucleotide ribosomal RNA is filed under the name uncultured bacterium. RNAcentral describes it as "partial 16S ribosomal RNA". It matches the Rfam family "Bacterial small subunit ribosomal RNA", at positions 524 to 776 of the family's 1533-position model. The record is from RNAcentral.
UACGUAGGGUGCGAGCGUUGUCCGGAAUUACUGGGCGUAAAGCGCACGUAGGCGGCUUUGCGAGUCAGAGGUGAAAGCCCGGGGCUCAACCCCGGAAUUGCCUUUGAGACUGCAUCGCUAGAAUUGUGGAGAGGUAAGUGGAAUUCCGAGUGUAGAGGUGAAAUUCGUAGAUAUUCGGAAGAACACCAGUGGCGAAGGCGACUUACUGGACACAUAUUGACGCUGAGGUGCGAAAGCGUGGGGAGCAAACAGG